This 498-nucleotide ribosomal RNA is filed under the name uncultured bacterium. RNAcentral's name for it is "partial 16S ribosomal RNA". It matches the Rfam family "Bacterial small subunit ribosomal RNA", at positions 899 to 1397 of the family's 1533-position model. The record is from RNAcentral.
ACUCAAAGGAAUAGACGGGGGCCCGCACAAGCGGUGGAGCAUGUGGUUUAAUUCGACGCAACGCGAAGAACCUUACCCAGACUUGACAUGUAUCGGACGCGUGUGGAAACACACGUUCCCUUCGGGGCCGAUGCACAGGUGCUGCAUGGCUGUCGUCAGCUCGUGUCGUGAGAUGUUGGGUUAAGUCCCGCAACGAGCGCAACCCUUGUCCCUAGUUGCUAACGGAUAAUGCUGAGCACUCUAGGGAGACUGCCGGUGGUAAACCGGAGGAAGGUGGGGAUGACGUCAAGUCCUCAUGGCCCUUACGUCUGGGGCUACACACGUGCUACAAUGGCCGGUACAGAGGGUUCCGAUACCGCGAGGUGGAGGCAAUCCCAAAAAACCGGUCUCAGUUCGGAUUGCAGUCUGCAACUCGACUGCAUGAAGUUGGAAUCGCUAGUAAUCGCUGAUCAGCAGGCAGCGGUGAAUACGUUCCCGGGCCUUGUACACACCGCCCGU